AUUCAACUACACAAGCAGUCCUUCCAAGAUCCCAUCGUCUUCUUCCCUUCGCUCUUCUCCCUUCUGUACCUGUACACCGAGGAUUUGCAAGCUAGGCUCUGUACAAGCGCCCCCUCUCCCCUGAAACGACCGCGCCACCGACGAGCGCUUACAUGUAGCGCCGCCAUGCUGUAGGUCUGGGCAACAUUGACCCAGCCAUCGCAAAGCCGGCCAUCUUCUGCAGCUUAAAGUAUCCAGGGAAUGAAGAGCAGACAUUAAGGUCAAGAUCUGGAACAAGAAUAUAUUUUGUAAUGGCAGCAAGUACUGUCUGGAUGUUCAGCUGCAAGCUCAUUUAUAGUUACUUUGUCUCUUCUAGCCAGCCAAGAUAUCUCUGUCAGAUGAUGAGGGGAGCUGCUAAUUCAGGAUAUAUUGGCAUCUGAAACGUAAUGUAUCUCUUGUAGUAAAGUUAUUGACAACAGAACAUGGUGGACCUUCUGUUCAAGAGUUGUGUAGAACAAGCUAUCCUUAUGAAAUAUGUGCGUCAUAUAUAUGUACACAAUGAGUGAAUCCGACUGUGUAUACGACAGUGGUGUACAAGAAAUUUAAAUAUGGUACUGUCAAGUUUUCUACGAGACAAUUGUAGCCUGGAUGAAAUUACUUUAGUGCAUCUUGAAGCCUUAGUGCAACUUCUCCAGUGAUUAUGACACUUGAUAUGUAAUUAUUAACACUGUCAUACAAACACACCUCUUAAUUUUGUCAUAUAAAUAAG
RNAcentral lists this ribosomal RNA (748 nucleotides) under Triticum aestivum (bread wheat). RNAcentral's name for it is "partial small subunit ribosomal RNA". Lineage: Eukaryota; Viridiplantae; Streptophyta; Magnoliopsida; Poales; Poaceae. The record is from RNAcentral.